This 460-nucleotide ribosomal RNA is filed under the name uncultured bacterium. Its description in RNAcentral is "partial 16S ribosomal RNA". It matches the Rfam family "Bacterial small subunit ribosomal RNA", at positions 338 to 795 of the family's 1533-position model. The record is from RNAcentral.
CCUACGGGGGGCAGCAGUGAGGAAUAUUGGUCAAUGGUCGAGAGUCUGAACCAGCCAAGUAGCGUGCAGGAUGACUGCCCUAUGGGUUGUAAACUUCUUUUAUAUGGGAAUAAAAUGUUCCACGUGUGGGAUUUUGUAUGUACCAUAUGAAUAAGGAUCGGCUAAUUCCGUGCCAGCAGCCGCGGUAAUACGGAGGAUCCGAGCGUUAUCCGGAUUUAUUGGGUUUAAAGGGAGCGUAGGUGGAUUGUUAAGCAAGUUGUGAAAGUGUGCGGCUCAACCGUAAAAUUGCGGGGGCAACUGGCAGGCUUGAGUACAGGGAAGGUGGGCGGAAUUCGUGGUGUAGCGGUGAAAUGCUUAGAUAUCACGAAGAACUCCGAUUGCGAAGGCAGCUCACUGGACUGCAACUGACACUGAGGCUCGAAAGUGUGGGUAUCAAACAGGAUUAGAUACCCGAGUAGUC